UUUUUUUUCGUCUGCAGUUUAUGAGGAUGAGCACCUCCGCAGGAGGUUCGAGCCUCGCGAAGCGAGACAACGUUGCUUUAGCAAAGGCCCGCAGGGUGAGGCGUUGGCGCCGAAUCAUCCUCCCGGAUACACCA
Molecule: small RNA, 134 nt
Filed under: Serratia marcescens
Lineage: Bacteria; Pseudomonadati; Pseudomonadota; Gammaproteobacteria; Enterobacterales; Yersiniaceae
Description: RtT sRNA
Rfam family: RtT RNA
About the family: This family represents a bacterial cis-regulatory element known as RtT RNA. The exact function of RtT is unknown although it is thought that it may be involved in changing the cellular response in relation to amino acid starvation.
Source: RNAcentral